GAUUGAAGAACGCAGCGAAAUGCGAUAAGUAAUGUGAAUUGCAGAAUUCAGUGAACCAUCGAAUCUUUGAACGCACAUUGCGCCCGGCAGUAAUCUGCCGGGCAUGCCUGUCCGAGCGUCAUUUCUGCCCUCGAGCGCGGUUAGCUUGCUAUCCGCUGCCCGGUGUUGGGGCGCUACGGUUCAGGGCCUCGUGCCCUGUCGUAGGCCCCGAAAUGAAGUGGCGGUCCCGCCGCGGCGCCCCCUGCGUAGUAGUCUUACAACUCGCAUCGGGACCCGGUGGAGGCCAGCCGUCAACCCAUCUUUCUAUGGUUUGACCUCGGAUCAGGUAGGGUUACCCGCUGAACUUAAGCAUAUCAAUAAGCGGAGGA
RNAcentral lists this unclassified non-coding RNA (368 nucleotides) under soil metagenome. RNAcentral's name for it is "partial contains 5.8S ribosomal RNA, internal transcribed spacer 2, and large subunit ribosomal RNA". The stretch from base 4 to 121 matches the Rfam family "5.8S ribosomal RNA", at positions 37 to 154 of the family's 154-position model. The record is from RNAcentral.